UAGGGAAUAUUGGGCAAUGGAGGGAACUCUGACCCAGCCAUGCCGCGUGCAGGAUGAAGGCGUUAUGCGUUGUAAACUGCUUUUAUAUAGGAAGAAAUAGUCCUUGCGAGGAAAGUUGACGGUACUAUAUGAAUAAGCACCGGCUAACUCCGUGCCAGCAGCCGCGGUAAUACGGAGGGUGCAAGCGUUGUCCGGAUUUAUUGGGUUUAAAGGGUGCGUAGGCGGUUUAUUAAGUCAGUGGUGAAAGACGGUCGCUCAACGAUUGCAGUGCCAUUGAUACUGGUAGACUUGAGUAUGAUUGAGGUAGCUGGAAUGGAUAGUGUAGCGGUGAAAUGCAUAGAUAUUAUCCAGAACACCAAUUGCGUAGGCAAGUUACUAAGUCAUAACUGACGCUGAGGCACGAAAGUGUGGGUAUCAAACAGGAUUAGAUACCCUAGUAGUCCCUGAGCGGGCUGGCAAGGCGCAU
Molecule: ribosomal RNA, 466 nt
Filed under: uncultured bacterium
Lineage: Bacteria
Description: bacterial SSU rRNA
Rfam family: Bacterial small subunit ribosomal RNA
Source: RNAcentral